This 71-nucleotide transfer RNA is filed under the name Loxodonta africana (African savanna elephant). It matches the Rfam family "tRNA". Rfam says of the family: Transfer RNA (tRNA) molecules are approximately 80 nucleotides in length. Lineage: Eukaryota; Metazoa; Chordata; Mammalia; Proboscidea; Elephantidae. The record is from Rfam by way of RNAcentral.
GCAUUGGUGAUUCAGUGGCAGAAUUCUCGCCUUCUAUGCUGGAGACCUGGGUUCAAUUCCUGGCCAAUGCA